UUGUCCGGAUUUAUUGGGCGUAAAGAGCUCGUAGGCGGCUUGUCAAGUCGGGUGUGAAACCUCCAGGCUCAACCUGGAGACGCCACUCGAGACUGUCAUGGCUAGAGUCCGGUAGGGGAUCACGGAAUUCCUGGUGUAGCGGUGAAAUGCGCAGAUAUCAGGAGGAACACCGAUGGCGAAGGCAGGUCUCUGGGCCACUACUGACGCUGAGAAGCGAAAGCAUGGGGAGCGAACAGG
This 237-nucleotide ribosomal RNA is filed under the name uncultured bacterium. RNAcentral describes it as "partial 16S ribosomal RNA". It matches the Rfam family "Bacterial small subunit ribosomal RNA", at positions 541 to 776 of the family's 1533-position model. The record is from RNAcentral.